UACGGGGGGAGCAAGCGUUGUUCGGAAUUACUGGGCGUAAAGGGCUCGUAGGUGGCCAACUAAGUCAACCGUGAAAUCCCUCGGCUUAACCGGGGAACUGCGUUUGAUACUGGAUGGCUUGAGUUUGGGAGAGGGAUGCGGAAUUCCAGGUGUAGCGGUGAAAUGCGCAGAUAUCGGGAAGAACACCCGUGGCGAAGGCGGUUCUCUGGGACGGUACUGACGCUGAGACGCGAAAGCGUGGGGAGCGAACAGG
Molecule: ribosomal RNA, 253 nt
Filed under: uncultured bacterium
Lineage: Bacteria
Description: partial 16S ribosomal RNA
Rfam family: Bacterial small subunit ribosomal RNA
Source: RNAcentral